AAGAAAAGGAAAAAAAAGAAAGUUGUUAGGACUGAAUGUGAAGCGCACAUGUACCUAUCCCACGAUGAUGCAUGGUGGACUGUUGACCGUUUCGAGGACACCCACAAUCACGCCCUGAUCAAAAAGCCGUCCCUAACAAAAUUCUUAUCAUCACAUCGAUACAUUACGAAGGAGGAGCAUGACUUCUUGAGGGUUCUGCACGGAUGCAACGUUGAGACUGCGAGGCAGAUGCAGCUGAUGUCAUGGUUCUACGGAAGCGCUAAAGACGUACCCUACACGACACAAGACAUUGCUAAUCAACGAGCUAAGUUCCGCUUAGAGCAUCGGCACAAGGACGUUGGGAGCACAAUUGCAUACUUCCAAGAGAUGAGGGCCAAAGAUUCAUAUUUCUACUGGAGAAUCAAACUUUCCAUUCUUGCAGACAACUGUAAGGAGCGAGGGAUUCAAUGUUGUGCUCAAGAAGUAUGUGAACCCCAACAACUCAUUGAUUGA
Molecule: ribosomal RNA, 492 nt
Filed under: Triticum aestivum (bread wheat)
Lineage: Eukaryota; Viridiplantae; Streptophyta; Magnoliopsida; Poales; Poaceae
Description: partial small subunit ribosomal RNA
Source: RNAcentral